Molecule: long non-coding RNA, 314 nt
Organism: Sinocyclocheilus anshuiensis
Lineage: Eukaryota; Metazoa; Chordata; Actinopteri; Cypriniformes; Cyprinidae
Exons: 4
Source: RefSeq, a predicted model, not a curated record
AGACGAUACCAGUUCAAGAGGAAAGAAACGGUCCUGUGCCUCCACCCAAACCUUCAGAACCAUCCACCAAUCACACGUCUCCCGAUAAGGGUCCUUCUCCGUCUUUCAGGAGAAUUUUACGUAACUUCUUUUCGUCCUCUUCAGAACGACACGCAGAAGGUCAGCCACAGGAGCCUUAUCCUCCACCUUUAACUGACACAAUGACACCAGAACAGAUCAAAGCCUGGGAGGAGACAGAGAUGGACAAACCUCUGGAUAUCGAUCAAAUCAGAAUAGAUCCCUCCCCCUUCCAGCUGGUUGAGAGAACAUCACUA